RNAcentral lists this ribosomal RNA (486 nucleotides) under uncultured bacterium. Its description in RNAcentral is "partial 16S ribosomal RNA". It matches the Rfam family "Bacterial small subunit ribosomal RNA", at positions 30 to 507 of the family's 1533-position model. The record is from RNAcentral.
AUUGAACGCUGGCGGCAUGCCUUACACAUGCAAGUCGAACGGCAGCACGGGUGCUUGCCCCUGGUGGCGAGUGGCGAACGGGUGAGUAAUACAUCGGAACAUGUCCUGUAGUGGGGGAUAGCCCGGCGAAAGCCGGAUUAAUACCGCAUACGAUCUACGGAUGACAGCGGGGGACCUUCGGGCCUCGCGCUAUCGGGUUGGCCGAUGGCUGAUUAGCUAGUUGGUGGGGUAAAGGCCUACCAAGGCGACGAUCAGUAGCUGGUCUGAGAGGACGACCAGCCACACUGGGACUGAGACACGGCCCAGACUCCUACGGGAGGCAGCAGUGGGGAAUUUUGGACAAUGGGCGAAAGCCUGAUCCAGCAAUGCUGCGUGUGUGAAGAAGGCCUUCGGGUUGUAAAGCACUUUUGUCCGGAAAGAAAUCCUUGGCCCUAAUACGGUCGGGGGAUGACGGUACCGGAAGAAUAAGCACCGGCUAACUACGUG